CCCUUAGAUGUCCGGGGCCGCACGCGCGCUACACUGAAGGAAUCAGCGUGGCUUUCUCCCUGACCCGAAAGGGUUGGGAAACCCGUUGAAUCUCCUUCGUGAUAGGGAUUGGGGCUUGAAAUUGUUCCCCAUGAACGAGGAAUUCCCAGUAAGCGCGAGUCAUAAGCUCGCGUUUAUUACGUCCCUGCCCUUUGUACACACCGCCCGUCGCUACUACCGAUUGAACGGUUUAGUGAGGGCCUCGGAUUGGUCUCGGCCCGCUCUUUACCGGGCGGCGCCGUUGGUCGAGAAGACGCUCGAACUUGAUCGUUUAGAGGAAGUAAAAGUCGUAACA
This 334-nucleotide ribosomal RNA is filed under the name uncultured eukaryote. Its description in RNAcentral is "partial 18S ribosomal RNA". It matches the Rfam family "Eukaryotic small subunit ribosomal RNA", at positions 1470 to 1796 of the family's 1831-position model. The record is from RNAcentral.